GCAUCUGUAUCUGCUGUAAUUAUUGUCAUUUUACUGAUUUGUCUUUUAGUAAUUUUAAGAAGAAGGUAAAUAUUUGUAAUAUUUAUUGUUUUGUACUACGAUGACUUCAAUAGUGCUCGUUAUUUAAUCUUUAUGUUAGAUGUCACAAUUGUCCCAACUAUAUAUCUUCAGCUAAGUUUUUAUAUGUUUAUUCGUAAUAUUGUAAAUAAACGGGCUAGCACUUAACUGGCAAUUUGUUCAUGCCAAAGUCUGAUGUGAUAGAGAGGUAUACGCCUGCAUAACGACCAGUGACUCAUCUUUAUACCGAUAACUCGGAUGUUGAGCAUAAAUUUACUCGACAGAAAAGAACAAAUUUCAAUCUAAAGUCUCUGGUUGAAUCCGCCAAAUGUUAAAGGGGCACUAACUAUCAAAUUCAUGUUCACCGAUUUGACCCAAAUUCUCAUAUUUUAUUUGUAACAAUGUAAAACAUUUAUCCACACCAUUGAAAUUCUUAAAUGAAUAGUUUACAGGUCAUGAGCUCGAUGAUUUUUAGGUUCGUUGCGUGUGUAUUUUAGUCUAGACGCCAUCUAACUAACCACCGAGCUGACUCUCGAACACCUCCAAUGACUAUAUUAGCGAUACUCAUAAAUAUAGAUAUAAAUAGAUCAAGCAACUCGUGCAAUUAGAUUUUUUAAUGGUAUGUUUAAUUUCUUAGUAUAGAUUAAAAUUAACUGUUAAUCAGUGUUAUACCUGUAUACGAAUGUUUUUUUGUUGUUGAUCUAAUCAGUCAAUCAAAUGAUUUACCGUUGAUUCAGUUUCAAUGUUAACAUUCUUUUCCUUUAAUUAAAUUACUUUGCACGGAUAAUUUAUGUGUUAUCCAUCUCUAGCUAAGGAGAUAAAUUGAAAUUCACAUACAUACGGAUUCAAUUAGGUCGAAAUAUUAACUUGCAAGUGAAUAAUUCAUCAUUAAUGUUAUUAACUUAUUUUGACAUCAGUGAACCAUACAUGCUGCUAAAAGCGUAUAAUUAUUUCACUAUUUCACUUUCAUAAAUGAUGUAACAAAACAAAUGUUUUUUUUAUAUAUCUCGUAGCUAGUGCUCCUUUAACCACUUACUUCCUACUUAAUUAAAAGCACAGUACAUCAAAAUGACUUUACGUUUUCAGCUGACCUGUCAGUGUUACACAUUAAAACAGUUGACUUAUCAAGUAAAACGGUUUUUUUCAUCAUUUACCUCUUCAAAGUUUGAACUUUUACAAGGACUUCCAUAAAAGGGCACACUAAUAGUAAAUAUCAACAUGAAACUUUUAAUUCAUGUUUAUAUUCAACCCAUAUUUAUAUUAUCCUUACAUACUAGUGGGCGGGUGUAUGCGGUACAACUAAACAAAAAAUAUGUUUGUGUUUUGUACCUUUUUUUAGAUUUUGAAAUCAUCUGGAAUUUUUCGUAUCAUUGGUAUUAAAAAAAUAGACUAAAAGAUAAGGUGUCGCAUGCUAAGCGAUCUUAUCCGCCAUUCUAUUGAACUCGAUAUAAAAGAGUUCGUUCGGGUGAUCAGUGCCUGUCAUUUGUCGUUUGAAAAAGUCUUUAUAACAAGUUUUAACCCGCAAGAUUUUGUAUGGAUUGGACUAUCCCAAGUCAGAAGCCUGUAAUUCAGUGGUUGUCGUAUGUUGCUGUGAUGCAUAUUUGUUUUUCAUUCAUGUUUUUUGUUCAUAAAUUAGGCCGUUAGUUUUCUUGUUUGAAUCAUUUUACGUUUGUGAUUUCAGAGCAUUUUUAUAUCUGACUAUGUGGUUUUGGCUUUGUUCAUUUUUGGAAGCAGAACGUUGACCUAAAACUGCUAAUUAUGAGUUUUCUUAUUGACAAUCACACCACAUCUUCUUUUUUAGAUUCCAUUUGUUUUUAAUAUUGCUUUAAUUUUACAUUUCUUAAGCAAAAAUCCAUUGCUGAUUAUCGUUUCAGAAUGGUAUGCAUGUUUUGAAUAGAAAACUUUUAAUUUAUCUAUAAAAAAGGUAAUAACAAAAUUACCAAACUAUCAUGAACAUUAAAAAAGGAGAAUUCUUUAAGAUACUGCCAAAACCAAAUGCUCAACUACAUUAACCAACAAAAAGACUGAAAAACUUAUAUUCCUGACUUUGUACAGGCAUUUACCGACGAAAAUAUUAACUGGGUGCGAUCUCUAUCAAAAUUCUUGUAGCAAACCAAUCUAGAAAUAAAUCGAGAGAAAAGUGUAAGAGAACAUCAGAAACGUGGCUAGAAACACAUAUCAUACGGUUGUCAUAUGUAUGACCUUCGCUGGUCCGCAUUUUUCCUUCUGUCUACAGCUUGGAGUAAAAAUCAGUAAUAUUUUUUACCCUUUUGUUUACAAUUUCACUAUUGUUUUCCUCAUAAAACAGCAAUUAGGAUAGGUCAUUUUUAAACAGUAUUUACAGUACAUAGAAUUGACGACAAAAGUUCAUACAAAAUUUAAUAUUUCACUUGCUAGUCCUGAAUAAAUCCCAUACCCCGCACUGAAAGAUAGUCGCGCACAAAAUCUGGUAUAUAGAUUACUGUUUCAGGUGAUACUUUUUGUCCUCUAUUGGGAUUACCUAGAAUGCUCCUAAAGAUAGUCUAUUUAAUUAUAUGGAUAAACUUGACUCAAACCCUACAAAUGAAAUAUAUACUGAUAUUCAAUAACAUUAUCAGUGAAAAUACAAGUUAAAAUGAGUUUUUUAAACUCAUAGUUUGUUCUGCAUAAAGAUGACAAAACAUAAAAUUUAAAAAAAAUCGUUUAAAGGACAAUUCAAAAAACCUAGCAUCGUUUAAUCUUUCAAAGCGUUUGCUUUCAGAUCAAUAGAAACGAAAUCAGCAAAAAAGAACCAACCCGUACAUAACUCUGAAGAUAGAAAAGAUUACAAUGGACGUCAGAAUAUUGCUAUAUCUAUGCGAGGGGAUUUGACAGAAUACAAUGACUUGGACAUGCGUCGUGAUAGUCAUCAAUAUGAAGAUCUUAAAUCAGCGAGAACGAAACCACAAGAGACAAGCUAUGAUUAUAUUGACACUCAUAUACACAAACAAGAAACAGAUAUUUGUAAAACUGAUAAGAUAAACUCUACAAAGAAUGCAUGUGUUGAAUUGAUUCACGAUUAUUUAGUAUUAGACCAGAAUAGCCAUAAUCAGUAACAGGAAUGAUGACAGAGACAAUUUU
RNAcentral lists this long non-coding RNA (3156 nucleotides) under Mytilus galloprovincialis (Mediterranean mussel). Lineage: Eukaryota; Metazoa; Mollusca; Bivalvia; Mytilida; Mytilidae. The record is from RNAcentral.